Non-coding RNA from Schizosaccharomyces pombe (fission yeast), 320 nucleotides. NCBI's taxonomy places the organism in Eukaryota, Fungi, Ascomycota, Schizosaccharomycetes, Schizosaccharomycetales, Schizosaccharomycetaceae. The record is from the annotation of a GenBank genome assembly.
CUUGAACCACUUUGAAGCAGAUACACUAAAGCGCGAGACAAUAAAAAUGAAGAAACUCAAACAAGGGUUUCUAUAGCCUCUUAAACAAAAAGUCAAGUAUUUAUCCAAAUACUCUAAAGAAUCUAUAAAAAUCAAGAUGAAGUAUGUAGGCUAAGAUACUUAAUUAAUGAAACAACUGCGCUUUAUAUGAUGAGCACAAUAACCAUGCCAAUUGAACAAUCAAAUAGAUGCUAGAAAGCUUCUAAAGUAAUUGACUUCAAAAAGCAAUCCUUUCGGGAGAAAAGCUAAUUGUUUUGGCAAACGCUAAUACCUGGUCGCUG